Molecule: ribosomal RNA, 465 nt
Filed under: uncultured bacterium
Lineage: Bacteria
Description: partial 16S ribosomal RNA
Rfam family: Bacterial small subunit ribosomal RNA
Source: RNAcentral
GAUGAACGCUGGCGGCGUGCUUAACACAUGCAAGUCGAACGGAAAGGCUCCUGCUUGCAGGGGUACUCGAGUGGCGAACGGGUGAGUAACACGUGGGUGAUCUGCCCUGCACUUCGGGAUAAGCCUCGGAAACUGGGUCUAAUACCGGAUAGGACGAUGGUUUGGAUGCCAUUGUGGAAAGUUUUGCGGUGUGGGGUAGGCGCGCGGGCUAUGAGCUUGUUGGUGGGGUAAUGGCCUCACAAGGGGUCGACGGGUCGCCGGCCUGGGAGGGUGUACGGCCACAAUGGGACUGAGGUACGGCCCAGACUCCAACGGGAGGCAGAAGGGGGGAAUAUUGCACAAUGGGGGCAAGCCUGAUGCAGCGACGCCGCGUGGGGAAUGACGGCCUUCGGGUUGUAAACUCCUUUCGCUUGAGACGAAGCGCAAGUGACGGUACCUGGAGAAGAAGCACCGGCUAACUACGUG